CGGGGGGCCCCAAACCUCCCAUCCGUGUCUAUUGUACCCUGUUGCUUCGGCGGGCCCGCCGCUUGUCGGCCGCCGGGGGGGCGCCUCUGCCCCCCGGGCCCGUGCCCGCCGGAGACCCCAACACGAACACUGUCUGAAAGCGUGCAGUCUGAGUUGAUUGAAUGCAAUCAGUUAAAACUUUCAACAAUGGAUCUCUUGGUUCCGGCAUCGAUGAAGAACGCAGCGAAAUGCGAUAACUAAUGUGAAUUGCAGAAUUCAGUGAAUCAUCGAGUCUUUGAACGCACAUUGCGCCCCCUGGUAUUCCGGGGGGCAUGCCUGUCCGAGCGUCAUUGCUGCCCUCAAGCCCGGCUUGUGUGUUGGGUCGCCGUCCCCCUCUCCGGGGGGACGGGCCCGAAAGGCAGCGGCGGCACCGCGUCCGAUCCUCGAGCGUAUGGGGCUUUGUCACAUGCUCUGUAGGAUUGGCCGGCGCCUGCCGACGUUUUCCAACCAUUCUUUCCAGGUUGACCUCGGAUCAGGUAGGGAUACCCGCUGAACUUAAGCAUAUCAAUAAGGCGAAAGGAA
Molecule: ribosomal RNA, 561 nt
Filed under: Aspergillus niger
Lineage: Eukaryota; Fungi; Ascomycota; Eurotiomycetes; Eurotiales; Aspergillaceae
Description: eukaryotic LSU rRNA
Rfam family: 5.8S ribosomal RNA (bases 176-329)
Source: RNAcentral